RNAcentral lists this ribosomal RNA (560 nucleotides) under uncultured bacterium. RNAcentral's name for it is "bacterial SSU rRNA". It matches the Rfam family "Bacterial small subunit ribosomal RNA", at positions 47 to 598 of the family's 1533-position model. The record is from RNAcentral.
CUUAACACAUGCAAGUCGAGCGGUAACAUUUCUAGCUUGCUAGAAGAUGACGAGCGGCGGACGGGUGAGUAACGCGUAGGAAUCUGCCUAGUAGUGGGGGACAACAUGUGGAAACGCAUGCUAAUACCGCAUACGCCCUACGGGGGAAAGGAGGGGAUCUUCGGACCUUUCGCUAUUAGAUGAGCCUGCGUGAGAUUAGCUAGUUGGUGGGGUAAAGGCCUACCAAGGCGACGAUCUCUAGCUGGUCUGAGAGGAUGAUCAGCCACACUGGGACUGAAACACGGCCCAGACUCCUACGGGAGGCAGCAGUGGGGAAUAUUGGACAAUGGGCGCAAGCCUGAUCCAGCCAUGCCGCGUGUGUGAAGAAGGCCUUAGGGUUGUAAAGCACUUUCAGGAGUGAGGAAGGGCGUAUAGUUAAUACCUGUAUGUUUUGACGUUAACUCCAGAAGAAGCACCGGCUAACUCUGUGCCAGCAGCCGCGGUAAUACAGAGGGUGCGAGCGUUAAUCGGAAUUACUGGGCGUAAAGCGCGCGUAGGCGGUUUGUUAAGUCGGAUGUGAA